This 386-nucleotide long non-coding RNA is filed under the name Carica papaya (papaya). Its description in RNAcentral is "long non-coding RNA (CPAP_LNC007979)". Lineage: Eukaryota; Viridiplantae; Streptophyta; Magnoliopsida; Brassicales; Caricaceae. The record is from RNAcentral.
GAAAAAUGUGUUACAUAGCACUACCCAGUCAGCAGCCCCGACGAACUGGAGCGGCCGCAUUGUAAGGCACGCUGACGCGGUGCCACACUAGCAAUUCACGUGCCUGUGAUCGGACGGUUUGGAUUUGUUCCUGUGCGUGUGGACGGUCCAGAUCUGUUCCCUCCUCAGGCACGAUUGGACAGUCACGAUUAAACGUGAUGAAUAACCCAUAUUCGCUCUCUCUUUAAACUUGAUCAUAUGGUCCAGAUCAAAUGCGAUAGACGACCCAGAUUAAAGGAAUACAGAUAUAAAUAUCUCACUUCACACCGAACCCCAACUUUAGCCACCAGCCCCCCGUUGGAGAAAAAGAACCAAUCGUCAGAGAAGAGAGCUGACCGAUACCCGCC